RNAcentral lists this ribosomal RNA (306 nucleotides) under uncultured bacterium. Its description in RNAcentral is "partial 16S ribosomal RNA". It matches the Rfam family "Bacterial small subunit ribosomal RNA", at positions 507 to 807 of the family's 1533-position model. The record is from RNAcentral.
GACAGCAGUAGCCGCGGGAAUACGGAGGGUGCAAGCGUUAAUCGGAAUUACUGGGCGUAAAGCGCACGCAGGCGGUCUGACAAGUCAGAUGUGAAAUCCCCGGGCUUAACCUGGGAACUGCAUUUGAAACUGUCAGGCUGGAGUCUUGUAGAGGGGGGUGGAAUUCCAGGUGUAGCGGUGAAAUGCGUAGAGAUCUGGAGGAAUACCGGUGGCGAAGGCGGCCCCCUGGACAAAGACUGACGCUCAGGUGCGAAAGCGUGGGGAGCAAACAGGAUUAGAUACCCGAGUAGUCCCUGUCUCUUAUAC